AUUGAACGCUGGCGGCAUGCUUUACACAUGCAAGUCGAACGGUAACAGGCCGCAAGGUGCUGACGAGUGGCGAACGGGUGAGUAAUGCAUCGGAACGUGCCCAGUCGUGAGGGAUAACUACUCGAAAGAGUAGCUAAUACCGCAUACGAUCUAUGGAUGAAAGCGGGGGACCGUAAGGCCCCGCGCGAUUGGAGCGGCCGAUGUCAGAUUAGGUAGUUGGUGGGGUAAAGGCUCACCAAGCCAACGAUCUGUAGCUGGUCGGAGAGGACGACCAGCCACACUGGGACUGAGACACGGCCCAGACUCCUACGGGAGGCAGCAGUGGGGAAUUUUGGACAAUGGGCGCAAGCCUGAUCCAGCAAUGCCGCGUGCAGGAAGAAGGCCUUCGGGUUGUAAACUGCUUUUGUACGGAACGAAACGGCUCUGGUUAAUACCCGGGGCUAAUGACGGUACCGUAAGAAUAAGCACCGGCUAACUACGUG
This 482-nucleotide ribosomal RNA is filed under the name uncultured bacterium. Its description in RNAcentral is "partial 16S ribosomal RNA". It matches the Rfam family "Bacterial small subunit ribosomal RNA", at positions 30 to 507 of the family's 1533-position model. The record is from RNAcentral.